Wyeomyia smithii (pitcher-plant mosquito) is the source of this 3824-nucleotide long non-coding RNA. RefSeq lists it as uncharacterized. Lineage: Eukaryota; Metazoa; Arthropoda; Insecta; Diptera; Culicidae. The transcript is spliced from 2 exons. The record is from RefSeq and is a predicted model, not a curated record.
AAUAUCGCACGCUUAGCCUUGGGGACCCCGCUCGUCUCAUAACACCCUCUAGCGCGACGUUAAACAAUAUGCAGGAGAGACCAUCACCUUGUCGGAGCCCCCUGUGAGACUCGAAUGGGUCCGACGUUCCACCCGAAAUUUUCACAUCCUCCAUCGUAGCCUUAAUCAGUUUUGUCAGCUUCCCCGGAAAGCCGUUUUCGUCGAGAAUUUUCCAUAGCUCUUGUUGGUUUAUUGUAUCGUAUGCGGCUUUAAAAUCGACGAAAAGAUGGUGUGCAGGGACUCUAAACUCACGGCACUUUUGGAAGAUCUGCCGUAGUGUAAAGAUUUGGUCAGUCGUAGACCGUCCUUUCAUGGAGCCGGUCUGGCAGCUUCCUACAAACCUGCUGGCUAAUGGUAACAGGCGUCUCCUGUUGUGGUCUCAAGCUCGCACGCUAUUCAGCUGUUAAUCGUUGUGCUGCUUCCAUUUUUCGAUCACCUCACGAUCAUCCGUCAAAAUGCCUCCAUUCUUAUCGCUACACAUUUCGGAUCGUGGGACAAAGCCUCUGCGGGAUGCGUUGAGUUUUUGGUAGAACUUUCGUGUUUUGUGUGUGCGGUACAGCUGCUCGAGCUCUUCACAUUCCUCCUUUUCCUGGAGACGCUUUUUUUCCUUGAAGAGUUGGACUUGCUGCCUCCGUUUUAGUCUACAUCGCUCCACAUUCUGACGGGUGGCUCUACGCAGCAUUGUUGCCCGCGCUGCGUUCUUCUCGUCCAAAAUCUGCCGACAUUCUUCGUCAAACCACUCGUUACGUCGAUUCGGUUGCACGUGUCCCAGGAUUUCCUCCGCAGCACUGCUGAUAGCUAUUUUCACGGCAUCCCAGCGAUCCCCUAGAAGGGCUUCUUCAAGCUCUCCCUCUUCUGGCAGAGCAGCUUCGAGCGAUGAAGCGUACUGUGUUGCGAUGUCGUUUUGCUUCAGUCGCGCAAGAUUAUACCGUGGCGGGCGACGGUACCGUAUGUUAUUCACAACGGAUAGUUUUUGGCGUAUCUUAACCAUCACUAGGUAGUGAUCCGAAUCGAUGUUAGCGCCUCGAUGUGAUCUGACGUCGAUAAUGUCCGAGAAGUGCCGACCAUCUAUCAAAACGUGGUCGAUUUGUGUUUCUGUUCUAUUCGGUGAUCUCCAGGUGAGUAUGUUGGAGGCUAUGCUGGAAGAAGGUGCUACGUAUGGCCAUGUUCUUGGUGGUGGCAAAGUCGAUUAGUCCGAGGCCAUUCUCAUUCGUCAGCUGGUGUGCACUGGAUCGUCCAAUUACCGGUCUGUACUUCUCCUCCUGGCCAACCAUCAUGUUUUGGGCAGCGGUCAUAUUUACUCCCCAACUGCGCGUAGAAUUCGUCCUUGUCGUCAUCGGUACUUCCGAGGUGUGGGCUAUGAUCCUCAACCUGCACAUUCUAGGGCUGAUUGGCCACCACCCGAUCACCCGCUUCUGCAUCCCUCCCAUCACUAUAAAAACUGUUUCCAGCUCAUGUGUGCUUCCACAACUCUGGUAGAUGGUGUGACCAUCCCUGUACGUACGCACCAUCGUCCCCUUCCAGCAUACCUCCUGCAGCGCUACGAUGUUGAACUUGCGUCUUCAAUCCCUCGGAAAGCACGCGGGUACUUUCUAGGAAGUUGAGAGAUCGGCAGUUCCGUGUUCCGAGAAUCCAAUCGUUAGUCCGUUUUCGUUGCCUAGGUCCUAGCCGAUUGUUCCGGUCCGUAAUUACCGUUAUUGCGUUCGUUGCUGUUGUUUUUUAAUGGUGCCGGCUUGCAAGGCCAGCGACCAACCCCACUAUGUCACAGGAGGGCUAUUGUUUAGACUCCAGGGCACUACCAGGACUUGAGAAGGACACUGCGAUACUUAGAAAGCUUCUGUUGGUGUCGAUCCCAGGAAACUCCCUUCCGAGGAAGGAAGCCCCGCCCCCUGUCAGCAUGCGACCAGCAGUCCCACCAGGGUUGGUUACCCGAUCUUUCCACUGGUUACUCGCACAUCAGUUGGUACCACGAGAAGGUAGCUGGAAGGCUGAGGUUCACUAGUGGGAACUGUUAUGCGCCUUUGGUCCAGUCAUUAACCAACCAUAUUCAAAGCUCAAGAAAGUCGAACUGUGUAAAAACGUUAUUUUUGAGAUGACAUCAAAUCUCGAUGUUUUAUGCAUUUCGGUUUCGAAAAAUUCAUAACCUACACUAGGUCCUACAGGCUGUUCCGGUAAUUAUUAAUACACUAACGAUUAACCGCAUUUCCAAGUAACGUGCAGUUUUCAGCCAAACUUUGGCUGCGUUCUGUUUUCUACGCAUUUUAAAAAUUCCGCUGAAUUUGGCACAAAUUGCCAAAAAUAUGCCGAGAUUGGGACCGCCAUGAAUUUGUGAGAACUUCGAUUGCAACGCUGGUAACUAUCGCGAUUACUCGAACGAACAGCCAACGAUUUAAAAAGGAUUUCGGAAGAUAUAAUAAUCGGGUGUUAUCUUGAACAAUUUAACUUUGUCUUUAUUCUAAUAUUUGCGGAGAUCAGGUUUUUAUAGGGAUGAGAACUAUAAUCUCGGGACAGAUGCCAUUUUAUGCCAAGAAUCGCGGUACGCAUUCGUAAAGAGCCGAUUUUUCAGUAAUUUCGUUCAAAAGAUAAAUUAUAUGCUGGAUUAGUUUUAUAGCGAAUUUCUUUAUUCCACUGGAUAAGGGGAAAUCUGCCGAGGAAUAAAGAAACGGCAUCGCGAUUCACGACGCAAGUAAGAAAGAGAUACCAGAUAAUUGUUUACGAACUAAGCACGUGCGGUGGUGGGUUGAAGCUAACAAAUUUCACAGUGCGCUUCGGGCAGCACGCCAGAUACUGGGUCAAAAUCGAGCGAACAAAGAAGUGUUUUGACAGCAGUUAGGUCGCUCCCAGGUCAAAACGAGGUGAGCUGGUGGAAUAAAGAAAUUCGCUAUUAGUAAGUAAAAAAAAAUUGUCACAACUUUUAUCUGCGCAAUGCGUGGCCUUUCUCCCGACCUAAGAAAACAAAUUGUGCACAAAUAUGACAUCGUGAGUGGUAUUUGGAUCAGAAAAUUAUACAAAGAAGAAGGUGUGUGUCGGAGCAGCUAAACUACAUUACAAAAGUAUGGUGAAGAGUAUACGUUUACAAAUGCCCCGAGACGUGGUAGAGAACCCGAGCCUGCUAAACCCACAAUGGACAGAAAGAUAACAGAUUACUACAAGUGGCAUCCUUCAGUAUUAGUACGAAAUGUAGCGAAAAACCAAGUACCUCAUCGAUCAACGUUAUGCCUACUUUGCAGAAGCUAAUGAGUGGUGUUGAAAAAAGUUACAGAACUCACGUAUCCAAAAAUAAUAUAAGUUAAAUUAAAAUUGUAAAGAAAGUAUCAUUAUUAAGCAUACUUGUAUUAGAAUAUUUAAAUGAAAUUUAUAAUUUAAAUUUGCACUAAAUCCAUCCAAACUUAAAUGUUCUGUAAUAUUUCUGUUAGCUGCUUUUUUUAAGAUACACGACAAAAUUAUAAGAGCAGUUGAAAUCAUUAAUUCUAUAUCUUUUCACUUGCAAAUGCGCAUUUUAAAGCUUACAUAGCGUUUUCUUCAGUGCUUAGAUGAACAGUCCAUCUAACGUAAGCGUUGGAAUGCGCAUUUGCAAGUGAUGAGUAAAAAGUGAUAGAAUUAAAAAGUGAAGUGAAAUAAAAAUGUAGUGUAAAAACUACCAUUCUAUUCUUGUAACCGACAUAGCUCAUAUUAAUACAUACUACAGUUUCAAUUUCAUGAAUACAUGCCACUUAACUAUAUAUUCAACGAAUGUGCUUUGUAUUAUAUGUGAACAAAAAUGUGCUUUGUAAAUCAUUAUCUAA